AGUGAACGCUGGCGGCAGGCCUAACACAUGCAAGUCGAACGGCAGCACAGAGGAGCUUGCUCCUUGGUGGCGAGUGGCGGACGGGUGAGGAAUACAUCGGAAUCUGCCCAGUCGUGGGGGAUAACAUAGGGAAACUUAUGCUAAUACCGCAUACGACCUACGGGUGAAAGCGGGGGAAUCGCAAGACCUCGCGCGAUUGGAUGAGCCGAUGUCCGAUUAGCUAGUUGGCGGGGUAAUGGCCCACCAAGGCGACGAUCGGUAGCUGGUCUGAGAGGAUGAUCAGCCACACUGGAACUGAGACACGGUCCAGACUCCUACGGAGGCAGCAGUGGGGAAUAUUGGACAAUGGCGCAAGCCUGAUCCAGCCAUGCCGCGUGGGUGAAGAAGGCC
Molecule: ribosomal RNA, 390 nt
Filed under: uncultured bacterium
Lineage: Bacteria
Description: bacterial SSU rRNA
Rfam family: Bacterial small subunit ribosomal RNA
Source: RNAcentral